GAUGAACGCUGGCGGCGUGCCUAAUACAUGCAAGUCGAGCGAACGGACGAGAAGCUUGCUUUUCUGAUGUUAGCGCCGGACGGGUGAGUAACACGUGGAUAACCUACCUAUACGACUGGGAUACCUUCGGGAAACCGGAGCUAAGACCGGAUAAUAUUUUGAACCGCAUGGUUCCAAAGUGAAAGACGGUCUUGCUGUCACUUAUAGAUUACUCCGCGCUGCAUUAGCUAGUUGGUAAGGUAACGGCUUACCAAGGCAACGAUGCAUAGCCGACCUGAGGGGGUGAUCGGCCACACGGUAACUGAGACACGGCACAGACUCCGACGGGGAGCAGCGGUAGGGACUCUUACGCGAUGGGGGAGAGCCGAAUGGUGGAACGCGGGGUGAGUGAUGAAGGUCUUCGGACGGUAGAACUCUGUUGGUAUGAGAGUAGAAAAGUGUAAGUAACUGUGAACAUCAUGACAGUACCGAAUCAGUAAGCCACGGCUAACUACGUG
Molecule: ribosomal RNA, 497 nt
Filed under: uncultured bacterium
Lineage: Bacteria
Description: partial 16S ribosomal RNA
Rfam family: Bacterial small subunit ribosomal RNA
Source: RNAcentral